GACGAACGCUGGCGGCGUGCUUAACACAUGCAAGUCGAACGGAAAGGCCCUGCUUUUGUGGGGUGCUCGAGUGGCGAACGGGUGAGUAACACGUGAGUAACCUGCCCUUGACUUUGGGAUAACUUCAGGAAACUGGGGCUAAUACCGGAUAGGAGCUCCUGCUGCAUGGUGGGGGUUGGAAAGUUUCGGCGGUUGGGGAUGGACUCGCGGCUUAUCAGCUUGUUGGUGGGGUAGUGGCUUACCAAGGCUUUGACGGGUAGCCGGCCUGGGAGGGUGACCGGCCACAUUGGGACUGAGAUACGGCCCAGACUCCUACGGGAGGCAGCAGUGGGGAAUAUUGCACAAUGGGCGGAAGCCUGAUGCAGCAACGCCGCGUGCGGGAUAACGGCCUUCGGUUUGUAAACCGCUUUCGCCUGUGACGAAGCGUGAGUGACGGUAAUGGGUAAAGAAGCACCGGCUAACUACGUG
Molecule: ribosomal RNA, 468 nt
Filed under: uncultured bacterium
Lineage: Bacteria
Description: partial 16S ribosomal RNA
Rfam family: Bacterial small subunit ribosomal RNA
Source: RNAcentral